RNAcentral lists this ribosomal RNA (839 nucleotides) under uncultured eukaryote. RNAcentral describes it as "SSU rRNA". It matches the Rfam family "Eukaryotic small subunit ribosomal RNA", at positions 635 to 1426 of the family's 1831-position model. The record is from RNAcentral.
CGGUGUUCAACUGGCGUGCCCGCGGGACGUCCUGCCGGUGAGCUCAGCCCGCGAGGGCGGCUCAACUUGAAAUCCCAUCGCGGUGCUCUUCAUUGAGUGUCGAGGUGGGCCGGCACGAUUACUUUUGAACAAAUUAAAGUGCUUAAAGCAGGCUAAAAUUUUGCCUGAAUACUGUGUAUAUGGAAAAAUGGAAUAGGACCUCGGUUCUAUUUUGUUGGUUUUCGGAACCCCGAGGUAAUGAUUAAUAGGAACGGAUGGGGGCAUUCGUAUUGCGACGUUAGAGGUGAAAUUCUUGGAUCGUCGCAAGACGGACUAAAGCGAAAGCAUUUGCCAAAAACGCUUUCAUUGAUCAAGAACGAAAGUUAGAGGUUCGAAGGCGAUCAGAUACCGCCCUAGUUCUAACCAUAAACUAUGCCAGCUAGCGAUCCGCCGACGUCCCUCUGAUGACUCGGCGGGCAGCUUCCGGGAAACCAAAGCUUUUGGGUUCCGGGGGAAGUAUGGUUGCAAAGCUGAUACUUAAAGGAAUUGACGGAAGGGCACCACCAGGAGUGGAGCCUGCGGCUUAAUUUGACUCAACACGGGAAACCUCACCAGGCCCAGACACUGGAAGGAUUGACAGAUUGAGAGCUCUUUCUUGAUUCAGUGGGUGGUGGUGCAUGGCCGUUCUUAGUCGGUGGAGCGAUUUGUCAGGUUAAUUCCGAUAACGGACGAGACUCUGACCUGAUAACUAGACGCACUUGCGGCAUCUCAAAGGUCCGCCGGCGGCUGGCUUUGCGCCCGUCGUCGCGCGCGAUUUUUACUGCCGGCGUACAAUAAAUUCUUCUUAGAGGGACAAGUGG